CCUCCUGUCUCUAAUAUGUGCCUUUGUUGUGGUUUUGCUGCUGAUUUUACUCGUGUUACAUCAUAUAAAGAGAAAAUAUAAAGGUAAUCAGGGAAACAGCGAGGAAAGUGUCACUUACAGUGAUGUUAAAAUAUCAGAGGAUAGACGUCGGAAAAACACACCAAACACAGAAUAUCCACCAGAACCAGAAGUCAUCUACUCUUCACUGAGUUAGUCCUCCAGUUCCAGCAGAAACCUCCAGCUGUCGGCUCAUUUACAGCCUGCUUCUAAAGAUCGAUUUCUGGUGAAAAUGUGUUUAUUUCUCUAUAAAUGAGCUCAGCUAGAUGAAAACCAAGGCGUCCUGAAUGUAUUUCAUUGUUUCACUUUAGUGUGCUGAGUAAUAUUCUCAGUAACUUCACUGUUUUACUACUAUAACCUCUGCAGCAUGAUGGUUCCUCUGCAGCUUCAUCAUGUUCUCACCUGCGGUUCUUUAGCUUGUUUCUAACAAACAGACACAUUGUUCCUGUUUGUUUGUGGCUGUCUGAUGGAAACUAUUCUUCACAGCAGCUUGCAAUGCAAAUAAAACCAAAACCGCAGAAUCAAACCUGUUAAAAGCUGCACAAAAACCUGUCAGAGUGUUAAACCAAACCGUAGCUUGUUUUUAAGGUUUUGAUCUAGACAUGCUUUGAAAUAAACAAACUUUAGGUAAUGUUGAAUGAACCUUAAUUUAGGUUUUCUACAUUCACAAGACACAAGUGCAUAUCUGCCAGUGCUUAUAGCUUCAACUUUUCUGUGGAAUUUUUGUCAGUGGACUCCAAUGAAGUCCAACUGGACCCACUGGUUCCUUGAUUCCUUCCCACUCAGAGCUUCCUGAUGGGUCACAGGUCUGUCCUCAGUGGGUUUUACCCCCUGAUGAAAUCUGCAGUUUGUCUCCAUAUUUACCUCCCUAGUGGUUUAAGUGUUGGAUUUAUUUGGUUUUGUUUUAUUGACCAGAUUCUUUGAUUUUAGAACAAAGUUAAAUCCUUUAAUUUUUAAUCUGGUAACGUUUAUUUUUCUAUAAAAUAAUUUCCUACACAAUACAUAAUCUCAAUGGACAAUGCAUUUUCCAUUGAGAUUAAUUGAACUGAAAAAUGUAUUAAAUGUCUUUUUUUAAAGAGGUAAUUAUAAUUUGACUUUAAAAUGAAUGCAGCUCCCCGAAAAAUGAUCUUUCUUCAUUUUAAUGUUUUGUUGUGUUUCAGAAUAGCACACAGUGGUUAAGCAAAAAUAUGGAAUAAAAUGGCUUUAAAAUGGUUUUGCAAAUGAAAUUUGAAAAGUGUGGCAUGCAUUUGUCUUCAGUCCCUUUACUCUGAUACCACUCAAUAAAACCCAGUCCCAAAAAUUGACAUUUUAUUGUUUAUUGUGACAUUUUAUUGUGUAAUUUAUUCUGAGUAGAACUGCAGCUAUUUCUUUUCUAGCUUCACAGGUUUGUUAGAGAGCAAACAGGACUAUGAAG
Fundulus heteroclitus (mummichog) is the source of this 1471-nucleotide long non-coding RNA. RefSeq lists it as uncharacterized. Lineage: Eukaryota; Metazoa; Chordata; Actinopteri; Cyprinodontiformes; Fundulidae. The record is from RefSeq and is a predicted model, not a curated record. The transcript is spliced from 3 exons.